GCGGGGAUGCCCGAGCUGGUCCAAGGGGGCGGACUCAAGAUCCGCUGGCGAAGGCCAUCCGGGGUUCAAAUCCCCGUCCCCGCA
RNAcentral lists this transfer RNA (84 nucleotides) under Metallosphaera cuprina Ar-4. RNAcentral describes it as "tRNA-Leu (CAA) (tRNA-Leu-CAA-1-1)". It matches the Rfam family "tRNA". Rfam says of the family: Transfer RNA (tRNA) molecules are approximately 80 nucleotides in length. Their secondary structure includes four short double-helical elements and three loops (D, anti-codon, and T loops). RNAcentral also lists the same sequence under 1 other name. The record is from RNAcentral. Lineage: Archaea; Thermoproteati; Thermoproteota; Thermoprotei; Sulfolobales; Sulfolobaceae.